AACAAAGCGGGGCGGAAAAAAAAAUUUGGUUACGAGUGAUAAAAAAAGUCAUGGUAAACGGAGAAGAUCGACCAACAUUUGCACAGGUUGUUGCUGUCAGAGAAAACACCGCAAUGAAAGACGAAACUGGAGCAGUGCCGAUUGAAAAAUUGUAACAGCGACA
Venturia canescens is the source of this 163-nucleotide long non-coding RNA. RefSeq lists it as uncharacterized. NCBI's taxonomy places the organism in Eukaryota, Metazoa, Arthropoda, Insecta, Hymenoptera, Ichneumonidae. The record is from RefSeq and is a predicted model, not a curated record. The transcript is spliced from 3 exons.